This is an RNA transcript of Triticum aestivum (bread wheat), 2079 nucleotides long. It is a transcript of the gene named polyadenylate-binding protein RBP47, with no coding region annotated. Lineage: Eukaryota; Viridiplantae; Streptophyta; Magnoliopsida; Poales; Poaceae. The transcript is spliced from 7 exons. The record is from RefSeq and is a predicted model, not a curated record.
GCAACGAGGUCCCUCUCUUUCCGCCUCCACUUCCUCGCGAGCCUCUCUCUUCUCCUGCUCCUCACAGCGGUGGCGGCGGCGAUGCAGAUGGCGGCCGCGACAACCGAUGCUCCGGUGGCAGCUGCGCCGCACCCACAUCCCCAUGCCCAUGGCCCACAAGUACCGCACGGUCACGGGCACCCGCACCCUCACCACCACAUGCCGCAGCCGCGGUGGGUGGUACUUCCUUACCCGCCGCCGCCGCCUAUGGUGGCCGCGCCGCCCCCUCCUACACCGCAGUAUGUGAAGCAUUUCGCGCCGCAGGCAUCGGUGACGCCGCCUCCGCCAUCGGCUGGAUCCGGCGGGAACGGAGGUGACGAGAACCGGACGAUCUGGGUCGGCGACCUCCAGUACUGGAUGGACGAGAACUAUCUCCACAGCUGCUUCGGCCCCAGCGGCGAGGUGGUGACGAUUAAAGUUAUCCGCAAUAGACAUUCCGGAGUUUCUGAGGGUUAUGGUUUUGUAGAGUUCUGUUCCCAUGCAUCAGCAGAGAAAGCACUUCAGAAUUUUGCUGGUCAUGUAAUGCCUACUACUGACCGAGCUUUUAAGUUAAAUUGGGCAUCAUAUAGUGUUGGAGAAAAACGCUCUGAACUUGCUUCUGAUCACUCAAUUUUUGUUGGUGAUCUAGCUGUUGAUGUUACUGAUGACAUGUUGAUGGAACUUUUUGCUAACAAAUAUCGUUCUGUGAAAGGAGCUAAAGUUAUUAUUGAUGCAAACACCGGCCGUUCUAGGGGCUAUGGAUUUGUUAGGUUUGGAGAUGAUAUUGAUAGAACUCAUGCUAUGACUGAAAUGAAUGGUGUGUAUUGCUCCACUCGGCCAAUUCGCAUUGGACCUGCAACUCCUAGAAGAACUUCAGGUGAUUCUGGCACCUCUCCACCAACACAAUCAGAUGGUGACUCGACUAACAGGACAGUAUAUGUUGGUGGGCUUGACCCCAACAUUAGUGAAGAUGAACUAAGGAAAGCAUUUGUGAAAUAUGGUGAUGUUGCUUCUGUCAAAAUUCCUGUUGGGAAACAAUGUGGUUUUGUUCAAUUUGUCAACAGAGCUGAUGCGGAAGAAGCAUUACAAGGGUUGAGUGGAUCAACAAUCGGGAAGCAGGCAGUUCGUCUUUCUUGGGGCCGCAGUCCAGCAAGCAAACAGAGAGGAACUGGGGAAACUUGGGGAGGAAUAUGAAGCAAGAGGUCUCGAGUUGGAAGAUUCAAUAUAAUUCAUUGAUACCCCUACACACACAUGGCAGCAGCUAUAGAUGCUACAGGGCCUCGCACAUGCUACAGUAAUGGGCUGGAGGCAACUGGGCUGUAAUACCACCCAUGUAGAUAUAGCAGCCGUAGCAGUUUCCCUUCCUUAAAAGAGAUCUUGACCUCAAGCCGAAGGUAACUCCGAUAGCACGCUUGCCCACUCUGAGUAGGAAGACCACUCCAUGCAAUCUUGUACUGCUUGCGGGUAUGGCCUCCAACUUUGACAAGCCGAGUUUGGAGAACUUGGGCAGGUUUGGAUGAACUCACCAAAGAUUGAUCAUACUGUAGAGAUUUAGAAGCCGCCUCGAUGUCUUCAGGUGGUUUUGCAGGUUUGGGGAAGGAGACAUGGACAAAAGGAUGAUAUUUGCUGGAUUUUGAGCUGUCUAGGGGUGAUUCUGGGCAUCGGCGGAAUGGCAUGUACUACGGCACGCCUUUCUACGGUGGAUAUGGCUACGGGUCGCCAGUUCCUCACCCAAACGUGUAUGCUGCGGCUUAUGGAGCCUACCCUUUCUACGGUAACCAGCAACUAGUGAGCUGAUGAUAGAGGUCGUCUCUGUUUCCUCCCAACUCCAGUAGAAAACAAGGUUUUGGUCCAGUAAGCACAGUAUCGUACGAUGACAUAUUAUAGAUGGCCAUAAAAGCGGGCGAGAGAGACAGGUAUAUGAAUGUGAUGUCUGCAGAUUCGUGUUGCUAGUAGAACCUAAAGCAAGGCUUGUAGACAAUAAAGAGUUGAGUUAUUCGUAUUGUUGUAAGAAAUUUUGACUUGCUAAUAAAACCAUUGGCUGGAAUUAAUUUUUCUCAA